ACAAAAUGAACACUUCAGGACAAGAGGAACAGGACAAAGGUCUCCUUGCUCUUGGGGCUUUGCUAAAUCCUUUUGGAACUUAGCCCGCCGGCCUUACAAUCCCAGUCAACUUUACCCCUUGGUUUGGAGAUGGGGAAAAGCCUGCAAAUUCUUUUGAGACACCUUGUGACUCCGGUCUGCGACCCUCAACCUUUUGGGGUCCCUUCCUAACCUCAAUACUACUAUGUAUAUCUGAUGGUGUUACCCCCUAUUCAACUGCUGUUUGUCCUUCCUUCUCAAAGAGGCCCAGGACCUCUGGGAGGGGAUACUACAAUGGCCAGGGGAGUGAGGGGACAAGGUCACCAGCCUCACUGUCCCCUCCGGAGCCAUUUGGGUCCAGUGGCCAGACCUCAAUCAGGACCCCUGGAGACGGAGACCUGGCCCUUAGUAAGCAGCGGGUCUUCAAGAGCUCUCUCUGCCCCAGGCCGCAACCGUUCAGUGAUUAAGGCUAGCAAACAACUGAGGCAAAGAAUGGCCUCCUUCUCCUAGUCAAAAAAGAGGAAAAAAACCUAAAGAAAUAAGUCUGGGAGAAAGAGGUCAAAAAAGAGGAAAAAACUAAAGAAAUAAGUCUGGGAGAAAGAGGUCAAAAAAGAGGAAAAACUAAAGAAAUAAGUCUGGGAGAAAGAGGUCAAAAAAGAGGAAAAACCUAAAGAAAUCAGUCUGGGAGGGAGAGGUCAAAAAAGAAGGAAAAAACUAAAGAAAUAAGUCUGGGAGGGAGAGGUCAAAAAAGAGGAAAAAACUAAAGAAAUAAGUCUGGAAGAAAGAGGUCAAAAAAGAGGAAAAACCUAAAGAAAUCAGUCUGGGAGGGAGAGGUCAAAAAAGAAGGAAAAAACUAAAGAAAUAAGUGUGGGAGCGAGAGGUCAAAAAAGAGGAAAAAAACUAAAGAAAUAAGUGUGGGAGCGAGAGGUCAAAAAAGAGGAAAAAACUAAAGAAAUAAGUCUGGGAGGGAGAGGUCAAAAAAGAAGAAAAAACCUAAAGAAAUCAGUCUGGGAGGGAGAGGUCAAAAAAGAAGAAAAAACCUAAAGAAAUCAGUCUGGGAGGGAGAGGUCAAAAAAAGAAGAAAAAAACUAAAGAAAUAAGUGUGGGAGCGAGAGGUCAAAAAAGAGGCAAAAACUAAAGAAAUAAGUCUGGGAAAGAAAGAGGUCAAAAAAGAAGAAAAAACCCAAAGAAAUAAGUCUGGGAGAAAGAGGUCAAAAAAGAGGAAAAAAAUUAAAGAAAUAAGUCUGGAAGAAAGAGGUCAAAAAAGAAGAAAAAAUCUAAAGAAAUAAGUCUGGGAGAAAGAGGUCAAAAGAGAAGAAAAAACCCAAAGAAAUAAGUCUGGGAGAAAGAGGUCAAAAAAGAGGAAAAAACUAAAGAAAUAAGUCUGGGAGAAAGAGGUCAAAAAAGAGGGAAAAACUAAAGAAAUAAGUCUGGGAGAAAGAGGUCAAAAAAGAGGAAAAACCUAAAGAAAUCAGUCUGGGAAGGAGAGGUCAAAAAAAAAGAGAAAAAAACUAAAGAAAUAAGUCUGGAAGAAAGAGGUCAAAAAAGAGGAAAAACCUAAAGAAAUCAGUCUGGGAGGGAGAGGUCAAAAAAGAAGAAAAAAAACUAAAGAAAUAAGUCUGGGAGAAAGAGGUCAAAAAAGAGGAAAAAACUAAAGAAAUAAGUCUGGGAGGGAGAGGUCAAAAAAGAGGAAAAAACUAAAGAAAUAAGUCUGGGAGGGAGAGGUCAAAAAAGAAGAAAAAAACUAAAGAAAUAAGUGUGGGAGCGAGAGGUCAAAAAAGAGGAAAAAAACUAAAGAAAUAAGUGUGGGAGCGAGAGGUCAAAAAAGAGGGAAAAAACUAAAGAAAUAAGUCUGGGAGGGAGAGGUCAAAAAAGAGGAAAAAACUAAAGAAAUAAGUCUGGGAGGGAUAGGUCAAAAAAGAGGAAAAACCCAAAGAAAUAAGUCUGGGAGGGAGAGGUCAAAAAAGAGGAAAAAACUAAAGAAAUAAGUCUGGGAGGGAGAGGCCCUCAGGGCUUCUGGCCAAAGCAGAGAUGGCUGCAAUUCAUGUUCACUCAGGACCCAGGCAGUGACCCCGUGGGGCUUGGCCCGGGAUGGACUGGUAGCCAACAGUAAGUGUGGGAGCGGUUUGGGCUGAAGGCCUGUCCGCAAGGAGGAAAUCUAGCCAGGAAGCCCAAGAUUCUCCGAAGGUUUCAGCUAUUGGAAGGAAAAAAACAUUUUAAGAGCACCUGCAGGUAAGGGUCUGGUACCCUGUGUGCAAAGAGGGCAGGGAGGGAAGGCAGAGAGGAAGGUAAGGGAGAAAGGGGAUGAGGAAAGAAAGGAAGAAGGAAGGAAGGGAGAAGAAAUGGGAGGGAGGGAGGGAGGAAGGAAAGGAGGGAAGGGGGAAGGAAAGGAGGGAAGGAAUGGAGGGAAGGAAUGAAGGAAAGAAGGAAGGAAGGAAAGGAUGAAGAAAGGAGGGAAGAAAAGGAGGAAGGAAGGGAGGGAGGAUGAGAAAUGGAUGGACAUUUGGUUUCCACAGAGCUAGAAAAAUUAAAUUGGAAAAAUGAAACCCCCCAGAGCACCAGAGAAUGGGUUCUAGGCUGGCCCCUUUGCCCCCCCGGGGGCAGGGCCUGGCCAGGUCUGGGGAGGAGAAUCACCAAGUCCAUGAGACCCACGAUGAGCCUGGGGGAGGGCCUUGCUCUUCGGGACAGGAAUAAAAGGCAGCCUUUGCAGUCAUGGGUGAGGAGUUCUUGGGAGGACGUUUUGUUUCUUACAGAGGGAGAGAGGAAGAGGGGAGGGGGGAGGGGAGAUGGUGGGUUAUGGAAGACCCUGAGGACACCCACGGCCCCAAAGGGCAGCUCGGCUGGGAGACCUGGACCAGAGUUUAGUUUCCACAGUGACGAAAACUAGAGCAGCCGAGAAACGAAACAAGUUCGGCAAAGCCACUGAAACUCGGCGAUGGGGGCCGGCCCGGGACAAGGAACUAGCGGAAGGAACUGAGAUGGGGAGGGGGGCUGGGACUCGAAAGGGCUGGAGACUAAUUCCGGGUGGGCAAUCACUCACACUGGGGGCACGGGGAGAUGUAGUCAGAGACCACCUGCCAGGUUGGGGGAGCCGGGAUGAGUCACUGGGGGACACUCCCUGGGACCUCCCAUCACUGGGGCCUCGAGGGGACGGGCGCUUCAGGGAGGGGCAGGAGAGCCUCCCAGCUUAGACACCGCUCUCGAGGACGAAGGAGAAGAGCCUUUCCUGGAUCCGGCGGCGUCCCCAUGGGCCUGGGAGCAGGGCCCCCCACCCCAAGUGCCGCCGUCCGCGUCACAGCGACUCACCUUCACCCACCACCGGAGGGGGGGUCUUUCCCGUCCACAACCACCUUU
Long non-coding RNA from Antechinus flavipes (yellow-footed antechinus), 3372 nucleotides. RefSeq lists it as uncharacterized. The record is from RefSeq and is a predicted model, not a curated record. Lineage: Eukaryota; Metazoa; Chordata; Mammalia; Dasyuromorphia; Dasyuridae. The transcript is spliced from 6 exons.